GGCGCGGCAGUCCAUAAGGCGCCUGAACGGGUUGCUUCGCCUGUUAAGCGACGUGUCGUUGGUUCGAGUCCAACUCCCGCCU
This 82-nucleotide transfer RNA is filed under the name Paenibacillus dendritiformis. RNAcentral describes it as "tRNA-Asn". The record is from RNAcentral. Lineage: Bacteria; Bacillati; Bacillota; Bacilli; Caryophanales; Paenibacillaceae.